GAUGAACGCUAGCUACAGGCUUAACACAUGCAAGUCGCGGGGCAGCAUGUCGGUUGCUUGCAACCGAUGAUGGCGACCGGCGCACGGGUGAGUAACGCGUAUCCAACCUGCCCUUCACCACGGAAUAAUCCAGUGAAAAUUGGUCUAAUACCGUAUGAGGUCAUACGAUGGCAUCAGAAUAUGACGAAAGGUUUGGCGGUGAAGGAUGGGGAUGCGUCUGAUUAGCUUGUUGGUGAGGUAACGGCUCACCAAGGCGACGAUCAGUAGGGGUUCUGAGAGGAAGGUCCCCCACAUUGGAACUGAGACACGGUCCAAACUCCUACGGGAGGCAGCAGUGAGGAAUAUUGGUCAAUGGGCGAGAGCCUGAACCAGCCAAGUAGCGUGCAGGAAGACGGCCCUAUGGGUUGUAAACUGCUUUUAUAAGGGAAUAAAGUGGGUCACGUGUGACUUUUUGCAUGUACCUUAUGAAUAAGGACCGGCUAAUUCCGUGCCAG
Molecule: ribosomal RNA, 494 nt
Filed under: uncultured bacterium
Lineage: Bacteria
Description: bacterial SSU rRNA
Rfam family: Bacterial small subunit ribosomal RNA
Source: RNAcentral